UGGAAUCACGGGAGGAGAAUUCUGAGUGCUUGUGAGAACACACAAGAAAAGAAGACAAGAGUCUUGUUGCCUCUGUUUCUUUAAAACAUGGAAUUGUUCUUUAAAGACGGCUUCUCCCAGGUGAAAUGGGUGGGGCAGUAUUGUCAUCAGUGUGAUGUAUGGGUGCCGGGGACUGCCAGCAUGACCCUCGGGACUCUAGCCCAGAGGAACAGGCAAAGAGCUGAGUGCUGAAGAUGGAUCUGCAGGGCAGAUGUUGCGGGACUCUCAGCCUCACCCAGCUUUUGCAGAAAAGGCCACACAGAGACCUGGCCACCUCCUGCGCCUUGCAGGGAAGAUGAUUCACAUGAUCAAAUAGCAAGAACGUGGAAACAUCAUGGAGCUGACUCCUGGGGGUUCAAGUGCCACUUGUUGGCCUGAUCAAUGACAAGAUGCUAUUGUUUAAACAGACCAGCUUCAAACUGUGAAAAGUACAAGCUAAAGAAACCUGAGCCAAAGAUCAAAAACUCAAGUGACAGCAAAUGCUGGCAAGGAUGCGGAGAAAGAGGAACACUCCUCCAUUGUUGGUGGGAUUGCAGACUGGUACAACCAUUCUGGAAAUCAGUCUGGAGGUUCCUCAGAAAAUUGGACACUGAACUACCUGAGGACCCAGCUAUCCCUCUCUUGGGCAUAUACCCAAAAGAUGCCUCAACAUAUAAAAGAGACACGUGCUCCACUAUGCUCAUCGCAGCCUUAUUUAUAAUAGCCAGAAGCUGGAAGGGACCCAGAUGCCCUUCAACAGAGGAAUGGAUACAGAAAAUGUGGUACAUCUACACAAUGGAAUAUUACUCAGCUAUCAAAAACAAUGACUUUAUGAAAUUCAUAGGCAAAUGGAUGGAACUGGAAAAUAUCAUCCUGAGUGAGGUAACCCAAUCACAGAAAAACACACAUGGUAUUCACUCACUGAUAAGUGGAUAUUAGCCCAAAUGCUUGAAUUACCCUAGAUGCACAGAACACAUGAAACUCAAGAAGGAUGACCAAAACGCAAAUGCUUCACUCCUUCUUUAAAAGGGGAACAAGAAUACCCUUGGGAGGGAAUAGGGAGGCAAAGUUUAGAACAGAGGCAGAAGGAACACCCAUUCAGAGCCUGCCCCACAUGUGGCCCAUACAUAUACAGCCACCAAACUAGAUAAGAUGGAUGAAGCAAAGAAGUGCAGGCCGACAGGAACCGGAUGUAGAUCUCUCCUGAGAGACACAGCCAGAAUACAGCAAAUACAUAGGCGAAUGCCAGCAACAAACCACUGAACUGAGAGCGGGACCCCCGUUGAAGGAAUCAGAGAAAGAACUGGAAGAGCUUGAAGGGGCUCAAGACCCCAUAUGAACAACAAUGCCAACCAACCAGAGCUUCCAGGGACUAAGCCACUACCCAAAGACUAUACAUGGACUGACCCUGGGCUCCAUAGGUAGCAAUGAAUAGCCUACUAAGAGCACCAGUGGAAGGGGAAGCCCUUGGUCCUGCUAAGACUGAACCCCCAGUGAACGUGAUUGUUGGGGGGAGGGCGGUAAUGGGGGGAGGAUUGGGAGGGGAACACCAAUAGAGAAGGGGAGAGGGAGGGGUUAGGGGGAUGUUGGCCGGGAAACUGGGAAGGGGAAUAACAAUCGAAAUGUAAAUAAGAAAUACUCAAGUUAAUAAAGAUGGAAAAAAAAAAGAAAAAAGAAAAAA
Non-coding RNA from Rattus norvegicus (Norway rat), 1699 nucleotides. Lineage: Eukaryota; Metazoa; Chordata; Mammalia; Rodentia; Muridae. The record is from RefSeq and is a predicted model, not a curated record.